RNAcentral lists this long non-coding RNA (1038 nucleotides) under Equus caballus (horse). RNAcentral's name for it is "lncRNA (ENSECAG00000049683.1)". The record is from RNAcentral. Lineage: Eukaryota; Metazoa; Chordata; Mammalia; Perissodactyla; Equidae.
ACUUUGAGAACCAAUAGCACUCACCUUCAUUGCACAUUAGAAUCACCUUGUGGGGGCUCAUAAAAACACACAGGCUGUAACCCUGACCAAGUGCAUAAGAAUCCCUGGGGAUGAGACCAAGUUAUGCCAGCUUUUAAAAACUAGGACCAGGUGAUUCCACUGUGUGGCCAAACCAGAGAGGAAGUAACGUUGAAACUGGGGUAUCUAAAAGGAAAACGAGACGAAUGCAGUGAAGCUUCACUGAGAAGAUAAAAGAUGAGGACCAACCAGAGAAAGCCGAAUAUGCACCCUUAACCAAUCACAUAAGAUGUCGUGCUUCUAGUGACUCCACCUACAACUUCCCCGUGCCAAGAGCCUUCGAUCGGAGCACACCUGAAGUCUUCCCUUUUCUCCACUAUAAAGCUUUCCCACCCCUUUGCCUCCUUUGAGUCUCAGCCAAAACACAAGUGAUGGUGGCUGGCUCCCUUGUUAUAGUUCUGAGUAAAUAGUCUCUGUCUGUUCUCACUGGGUUGGUCUUCAUUUGUUUCCACAAGUGUCAACUGAACUCACUCAGGUGAGAAAUGAUGGAGACUUAGAUGGAGGUGGUAACAGGGAAGAUGGCAAGAGGUGAUCAGAUUCAGGAUAUACUUUAAAGGUAGAACCUUCAAAAUGUAAGAGGUAAGGGAAAGUGAGAAUCAAGUUUUAACUUGGAUAACUAGCUGGGCAGUGGUGCCAUGUACAAAGUCGAGGAAGGCUGGAGUACAUUCUCAAACUGGAGAAUCAAUGCCUUGGGUUCACCUACUCCCUGCAUACACAGCAACAUAAAUAACUCCAAAACUCUUCUCUAUCGAAGAGACCAUCUCCACCAGCCUGACACGUGGCCAAAGGUCAUUUCUUUGGGUGGGGGAACCUCCAGGGUGUUAGUUCACGGGUACCCAUAAGCUCCCACUGCCCACUCCCACUGCCCACUCCCACUGCCAUUUACUUCCCUCCCCCUCAAAAAUAAUCUUUGCAAUCUCCUGACUGAUAUGUGAAAUUUCACCCUCGGAACUGACUUCA